CACGUAGGGCGCGAGCGUUGUCCGGAAUUAUUGGGCGUAAAGAGCUCGUAGGCGGCUUGUCGCGUCGGAUGUGAAAGCCCGAGGCUUAACCUCGGGUCUGCAUUCGAUACGGGCAGGCUAGAGUGUGGUAGGGGAGAUCGGAAUUCCUGGUGUAGCGGUGAAAUGCGCAGAUAUCAGGAGGAACACCGGUGGCGAAGGCGGAUCUCUGGGCCAUUACUGACGCUGAGGAGCGAAAGCGUGGGGAGCGAACAGG
Molecule: ribosomal RNA, 253 nt
Filed under: uncultured bacterium
Lineage: Bacteria
Description: partial 16S ribosomal RNA
Rfam family: Bacterial small subunit ribosomal RNA
Source: RNAcentral